RNAcentral lists this ribosomal RNA (427 nucleotides) under uncultured fungus. RNAcentral's name for it is "eukaryotic LSU rRNA". It matches the Rfam family "Eukaryotic large subunit ribosomal RNA", at positions 1 to 422 of the family's 3401-position model. The record is from RNAcentral. Lineage: Eukaryota; Fungi.
GAUCUCAAAUCAGGCAAGACUACCCGCUGAAUUUAAGCAUAUUAAUAAGCGGAGGAAAAGAAACUAACAAGGAUUCCCCUAGUAACGGCGAGUGAGGCGGGAAGAGCUCAUCUUUAAAAUCUGGGCGGCUAUGCUGCUCCGAAUUGUAGUGUGUAGAAGCGUUUUCGGCGACGGCUCUGGUUCAAGUUCCUUGGAAAGGGGCAUCAGAGAGGGUGACAAUCCCGUCUUUGACCAGCGCGUCUGAAGCCAUACGAUACGCUCUCUUAGAGUCGGGUUGUUUGGGAUUGCAGCCCAAAAUGGGUGGUAAAUUCCAUCUAAAGCUAAAUAUUGGCGAGAGACCGAUAGCGAACAAGUACCGUGAGGGAAAGAUGAAAAGAACUUUGAAAAGAGAGUGAAACAGUACGUGAAAUUGUUGAAAGGGAAACGC